UAAAAUUUUAAAGCUUUGAUAACAUUUUAAUUAAUGAUUUAAGAUGUUUGGCUAAUUUUCAUCUCAAUUUAGAUUCAAGCACUUUGCAAGCCUGUUUUAAUCUCUAUGCUUAAAAACCUACAUAUUAAUAAAAUCAGCCUUACUACAUACAAGCUGUCAACAAACUGUUCUAAACACAGUGGAGGUAUGAAGUCAAGUACCUUUCUAGCUAAUGUAGUCAGCCUAUACAGUUGUUCAAUGGGGCAACACAAUCAUAUCUCCAAUUGUUACAGAGAUUGAAAUGAUUAUCAUCUGAACUACUGCACUUGGUAGCAAAGUUUUCUUUCUCAAGAAGGUUUUUGGUAAAAUACAGAUCUAUCAACAGGAGAUACCAUUACAUUUUUUGCAUUUACCAAAUCAUUUGCAGAGGGAUACACUCAGAAUAUGAUAGUUUCCAUGAAAAAUAGUGAACCAUAAAAACCGAACUAAAUGGAAUAUAGAACAGAAGUAUUGGAAUGCGAGGCAAAUGUUAAGAGGAAGAGAUAUAGGAAAAUAUAUCAACUCAUUAUUCAAGCUUUAUUUACAUCACAAAAAGUUUCCAUUCACAAAUUUUUCAAAUAAAACUGAAAGGUUUCCAUGAUAUUUUAAAAAUAUACUCUGUAUUUUAUCUUCACAAGAACUUGGAACAAUAGUCUAUCCACAAUUCCUGAUCCAAACAAGUGCCCAAUCUUCAUCUAUCUUGCCUCAUAUUUUCAGUAUAAAAAGCCCAUUCAAUUUUUAGGGAAAAAGACACAACACAAUGGCACAAUUCCUAAGGUUCUUAUUAUAUACAACCCUAUAGCUAAUAAUGCACAUUUCAUUUCCAUUUCUAGGUUGAAUAAUUUUGAUGGGCAGAAGUGUUCUAAAGUAUGCUUUUAUAAACCUCAUAUCACAGUAAUCCAUUGUUGAAACAUGGCUUAAUGCAUGUUUUAGGAUGGGUGAAGGAAGGAGAGAAGGGAAAAAGAAAAGAUGAAGAAAGGAAGAAAAAAAGAAAAAAGAAGGUGAAGGAAAGAGAGAGGAAGAAAGAAAAUGAAAAUAUGAGCAUGUUAUGAAGAAAACUGAAAAUAUGUAAUUAUUUUUUCUUAAUUUUAGCAGGUGUAGAAACUCUUAAGGCUGAUGAUGAGAUAGCUAUUUUUGCCAUAAAUUACAUGAAUUAUAUUCAUUUUUACAUUCUUAUAAUACAGCAUUAGAAUAUGUUGUGUUAUACGUAGACUCCUUAGAAGAUACACAUAAAUAAAAGAAAAAAAUUAAAAGCUGCUUUCAACUUACUAUCAUUCAUGUCCAUCUCUGUGUGCAUGUAUUACACACACACACACAUCCCCACAGUAAGAACCCACUAAAUAUUGUUAAGUUCUGGGAAAAUAUGACCUUAAGUGAAAUGACGUACAAUAGGUCCUUGAAUAACAUAGUCAUUUAGAUAUAAUUAUAAUAUGGAAAAAAUGGAUUUUGUUAUGCAUCGUUUUGAUUAAAGUCACAGUUUCCAAGAACCUAUUGAUGACAUUGAGGAGUUUAUACACACACAAACAUACACAAACAUGCACACACAUACAACACACACACACACAAAUGUAGUUAUACACAAUAUACUGACUGCCUUAUAAGAAUUUUUUUUCUAUCUUGUAAUAAUACAUGAGUACCACAUUUUUCAAUGCAUUUAAUCAUGCUGUAUCUGAGAAUGUGACUUAAGUCCCAUAAUAGAGUAUAAAUGUUCAAUGUAUUAUUGUAGAUAGAUAAUAUGAAACUGUGUGUGGGAGUGGAGUGAGUAAUAAUUUAAGAAAAGGCUCUUCCUGAACCAGUUCAUCUAUGGGAGAUCAGAAUAUGGCACCCCAAAAUAGGAUGGUUUGGCAUAAGGAUUAUUGAGCUGAAGGCAAUUAAGAAGCAGAUGAAGAAAAGCUCUCUGCCUCUAUUUACCUAAAAGGAAGAUAUACAUUUACAAAGAUAAAAAAUAUCCCACCUCCCCUCUAAACCAGGGAGAACAAAUGUUAUCUACUGAAGAGAACAUUAGACUGUUAUGGGCCUGGAGAUGGCACCAGAGGAAUGUACGUUAACAAGCUUUACUUAGACUUUAUCUGCCUUUUCUUUGCCUUGCCUCAAGUUGCUGUCUUUAGAAAUUCAAAAUCCUUUUCCUUUGUCAUGUCACUUCCCUAAAAUUUACUGUUCUUUGUUGAACAACGCGUUAUACAGCUGAAAUUCAAACUCACCUCCUUGACAGCUACUCAUUCCCUUGCUGUCUUCCAUGUAUAUAUGAAAUACACAUGUCAAUAAACUUCUCUGGCGUUUCUCUUGUUAAUCUCUCUUUUGGUCCAUGGGUCCAUUCCAACUAAUACUUUACAAGAAUUGAGGAAAAAAAUAUUUUUCCUCUUCCAAAUAGCUAUUUAGUAUUUUCUGGCUGUCAGAGCAAGUGUAUUGACAGAGUACUCACAUUUCAUUCUCUUUCCAACACUCUUCUUUGGAUACACUUUAAUUAUAAUCCUUAAAAAUCAGUCUCUGUGUUAGAAGUUGACAUGAUAUAUGGAGGAAAAGGGCCACUUUUUAAUUCUGGAAGUUAAUGCAAUAAUAUAAAGUAGAAAAAUAGCAUAUCUUGAAACAUAUUUCAUGUCAAACACAGACAUAUCCUUCUAAAAUGCAGCAUCAGGAAAUAAGCAUAAUAACAGAGUUCAAACUAUGAUUUCGAAACAGAUAAUUUGACAACUCAAGUAUAUGGAUAUAAUAAGCCUUUAUUCUGAUUUUUUUUCCAAAUAGUCUGAUAGUGGAAAAUGUUCAAAGAAAAUUUGAAGGAGGAGGACUGUGUACUAUCUUAUUUUCC
This 2824-nucleotide long non-coding RNA is filed under the name Homo sapiens (human). Its description in RNAcentral is "HSALNT0238787". The record is from RNAcentral. Lineage: Eukaryota; Metazoa; Chordata; Mammalia; Primates; Hominidae.